GCCGUGAUCGUCUAGUGGUUAGGGCAUUGUGUUGUGGCCGCAAUAAACCAGGUUCGAAUCCUGGUCACGGCA
RNAcentral lists this transfer RNA (72 nucleotides) under Blattella germanica (German cockroach). RNAcentral's name for it is "tRNA-His (GTG) (tRNA-His-GTG-15-1)". It matches the Rfam family "tRNA". From Rfam's summary of the family: Transfer RNA (tRNA) molecules are approximately 80 nucleotides in length. Lineage: Eukaryota; Metazoa; Arthropoda; Insecta; Blattodea; Blattellidae. The record is from RNAcentral.